AACGCACAUUGCGCCCUUUGGUAUUCCGAAGGGCAUGCCUGUUCGAGCGUCAUGAUCAACCCUUAAGCUUUGGCUUAUUAUUGAGUUUUAUAACUACAUUAGUUAUAAACUUGAAAGAUAUUGGCAGAGUCGAUUAGACCGGAGAAUGCAACGAGCUUUUUACCAAAGCAAGCAUUAUCUAGUUCAAACGAGUCUCGUCUUUUUAUAUUUUCACAAGGUUGACCUCGGAUCAGGUAGGAAUACCCGCUGAACUUAA
Molecule: unclassified non-coding RNA, 256 nt
Filed under: uncultured fungus
Lineage: Eukaryota; Fungi
Description: partial contains 5.8S ribosomal RNA, internal transcribed spacer 2, and large subunit ribosomal RNA
Rfam family: 5.8S ribosomal RNA (bases 1-52)
Source: RNAcentral